Myotis brandtii (Brandt's bat) is the source of this 701-nucleotide long non-coding RNA. RefSeq lists it as uncharacterized. Lineage: Eukaryota; Metazoa; Chordata; Mammalia; Chiroptera; Vespertilionidae. The transcript is spliced from 3 exons. The record is from RefSeq and is a predicted model, not a curated record.
ACCCCAACUAAUGAUUAGAAUAGCUAAAUAUAUUACAAAUGUACUAUUCAAAGAUUUUCCUCACAUGACUGAGUCUCUUAAAAUUUCAAUCAUCCUAAAUGUAAAAAUCUUACAUAUCUAACAUAUUCUUGAGCAGUCAGAACUUAGUUCAAAUUGGAAUUUACUUAUGGUUAACUACAUGUCAACUUGGCUACUCCAUGAUGCCCAGUUGUUUGGUUAAACACUAGUCUAGAUAUAUGUAAUUAACAUUUACAAUCAGUAAAACUAUCCUUCAUAAUCUGGGUGGAUCUCAUCCAAUCAGUUAAGGACAAUAGGAGCAAAGAGUGCGGUUUUCCAAAAAAGCAAUUCUGCCUCAAGACUGCAACAGAGAACUGCCUGAGUUUUCAGCCUGCUGACCUGCCCUGUAGAUUUUGGACUCAAGGCUGCACAUCAGCUCUUACCUGAUUUCCAGCUGGAUUGGCCUACAAAUGUCAGACUUGUCAGCCCCCACAAUUGUAUAAAAAUCUGAGAUAACUUUUCAUCUACUCUCUGAAAUAAGAUUUCAUCAGAGGUCAUGAGCCUGCCCGAGAGGAAAGAUGAACACAGUCCUGCUCUUAAUGAUGCCAAGGUUAAGCUUUCCUAACACUGAUCAUGUUAGGGCUGAAAGCAAAGGGAACAGCCGUAAGGAGAAAUGUAACAAGACAGGUAACACAUGCUGGGAA